RNAcentral lists this ribosomal RNA (1133 nucleotides) under Salmonella enterica. Its description in RNAcentral is "partial 23S ribosomal RNA". It matches the Rfam family "Bacterial large subunit ribosomal RNA", at positions 1803 to 2925 of the family's 2925-position model. Lineage: Bacteria; Pseudomonadati; Pseudomonadota; Gammaproteobacteria; Enterobacterales; Enterobacteriaceae. The record is from RNAcentral.
UUUACUAAAAACACAGGUCCGUGCGAAGUCGCAAGACGAUGUAUACGGACUGACGCCUGCCCGGUGCUGGAAGGUUAAGAGGACCGGUUAGUUCUUCGGAGCGAAGCUGAGAAUUUAAGCCCCAGUAAACGGCGGUGGUAACUAUAACCAUCCUAAGGUAGCGAAAUUCCUUGUCGGGUAAGUUCCGACCUGCACGAAUGGCGUAACGACUUCUCCACUGUCUCAACCACGAACUCGGCGAAAUUGCACUACGAGUAAAGAUGCUCGUUACGCGCAGCAGGACGGAAAGACCCCGGGACCUUUACUACAGCUUGGUAUUGGUGUUCGGUACGGCUUGUGUAGGAUAGGUGGGAGACUGUGAAGCAUGCACGCCAGUGUGUGUGGAGUCAACGUUGAAAUACCACUCUGGUCGUUCUGGAUAUCUAACCUCGGUCCGUGAUCCGGAUCAGGGACAGUGCCUGGUGGGUAGUUUAACUGGGGCGGUUGCCUCCUAAAAGGUAACGGAGGCGCCCAAAGGUUCCCUCAGCCUGGUUGGCAAUCAGGUUUUGAGUGUAAGUGCACAAGGGAGCUUGACUGUGAGACAGGCAUGUCGAGCAGGGACGAAAGUCGGGACUAGUGAUCCGGCGGUGGCUUGUGGAAGCGCCGUCGCUCAACGGAUAAAAGGUACCCCGGGGAUAACAGGCUGAUCUUGCCCAAGAGUCCAUAUCGACGGCAUGGUUUGGCACCUCGAUGUCGGCUCGUCGCAUCCUGGGGCUGGAGUAGGUCCCAAGGGUUGGGCUGUUCGCCCAUUAAAGCGGUACGCGAGCUGGGUUUAGAACGUCGUGAGACAGUUCGGUCCCUAUCCGCUGUGCGCGUAGGAAACUUGAGAAGAGCUGUCCCUAGUACGAGAGGACCGGGAUGGACGAACCUCUGGUGUGUCAGUUGUUCUGCCAAGAGCACGGCUGAUUAGCUACGUUCGGAAGUGAUAACCGCUGAAAGCAUCUAAGCGGGAAGCACGCUUCAAGAUGAGGUUUCCAUGGGCUUCGGCCCGAGAGGCUCCCAGCUAGACUACUGGGUUGAUAGGCCAGACGUGGAAGCACAGUAAUGUGUGUAGCUGACUGGUACUAAUAAGCCGAUAACUUGACACAACAAAG